AGUGAACGCUGGCGGCAGGCCUAACACAUGCAAGUCGAACGGCAGCACAGCAGUAGCAAUACUGUGGGUGGCGAGUGGCGGACGGGUGAGGAAUGCAUCGGAAUCUGCCUCGUUGUGGGGGAUAACGUAGGGAAACUUACGCUAAUACCGCAUACGACCUACGGGUGAAAGUGGGGGACCUUCGGGCCUCACGCGAUGAGAUGAGCCGAUGCCGGAUUAGCUAGUUGGCGGGGUAAAGGCCCACCAAGGCGACGAUCCGUAGCUGGUCUGAGAGGAUGAUCAGCCACACUGGAACUGAGACACGGUCCAGACUCCUACGGGAGGCAGCAGUGGGGAAUAUUGGACAAUGGGGGCAACCCUGAUCCAGCCAUGCCGCGUGUGUGAAGAAGG
RNAcentral lists this ribosomal RNA (390 nucleotides) under uncultured bacterium. Its description in RNAcentral is "bacterial SSU rRNA". It matches the Rfam family "Bacterial small subunit ribosomal RNA", at positions 29 to 414 of the family's 1533-position model. The record is from RNAcentral.